UACAGCUCAGUGGUAGAGUGCAUGCCUAACAUGCAUGAGGUCCUGGGUUCAAUCCCCAGUA
This 61-nucleotide transfer RNA is filed under the name Camelus bactrianus (Bactrian camel). It matches the Rfam family "tRNA", at positions 6 to 65 of the family's 71-position model. From Rfam's summary of the family: Transfer RNA (tRNA) molecules are approximately 80 nucleotides in length. Their secondary structure includes four short double-helical elements and three loops (D, anti-codon, and T loops). Further hydrogen bonds mediate the characteristic L-shaped molecular structure. tRNAs have two regions of fundamental functional importance: the anti-codon, which is responsible for specific mRNA codon recognition, and the 3' end, to which the tRNAs corresponding amino acid is attached (by aminoacyl-tRNA synthetases). tRNAs cope with the degeneracy of the genetic code in two manners: having more than one tRNA (with a specific anti-codon) for a particular amino acid; and 'wobble' base-pairing, i.e. permitting non-standard base-pairing at the 3rd anti-codon position. RNAcentral also lists the same sequence under 2 other names. The record is from Rfam by way of RNAcentral. Lineage: Eukaryota; Metazoa; Chordata; Mammalia; Artiodactyla; Camelidae.